Molecule: long non-coding RNA, 1893 nt
Filed under: Musa acuminata (dwarf banana)
Lineage: Eukaryota; Viridiplantae; Streptophyta; Magnoliopsida; Zingiberales; Musaceae
Description: long non-coding RNA (MACU_LNC011739)
Source: RNAcentral
UUUUUAUAAAAUGUCUGAUUUCUUUUUCUUUUUAUUGGUCGUGUUUUAUGGAGGAAAGGAAAGUUAUAUAGUGUAGUAGGGCUAGUAGAUAAUCUUCUCUUUUGGUGAAUAAAUAAUUUAGUGCAGUAUUACUUAUUGAUAAUUUGGUGAAUAAAUAAUAUGUUGGAAGUCCCUGUGGUAGCUCAUAGUUCUUUUUAAACGAACUAAAACCCUAAACCUCUCGCUGCGGCGUUUUCCUCGGUGAACGGCGGCUGCCGCGUCUUCCUCUCCAUCGGCGAAACAGCGUCUCCGCCCCCCCGGUAUCUCUCUCUUUCUCUUCCUCUUCCUCCUUUGCCGUUGCAGCCCCCCCUUCCCCGAUCCAUCCUCUCUCUCCCUCCCUCUUCCACUGUCGCUGCUCCCCUCCUUCCGCGACACCUUCCUCCCCCUCCCUUCUCCUCCCUCUAUACCCUUUACCCCUCUCUCGCUUCUCCUCCCUUCCCCAACACCAUCCUCCCAUUCCCUUCUCCUCCCUCCUUCUUCCCCCUUCGUCGGGGUUCCUCCCCCUUCUCCGACACCAUCUUCCCCUCCGGGACCACAGCUCCUCCUCCCUCUUCCAUCCCUUCCUGGCAGCGGCGUCCCACCGCCCCCCCCCCCCCCCCCCCACCCCACAGGGGGGGGGGCGUCCCCUUCCUCCUCAGUUUAGGGGUUUAGGGUUUAGGGUUUUAGGGUUUUAGGGUUUUAGGGUUUAGGGUUUAAAAUCUCGAUAUUAUAGGUUAUUGUAUGCGAUCUUGGCAAUUGGUGUUUUUAAUCAUGAGAGUAGGUUAUUUUUUAUAUUCUCUGAUUCCAGGUGGAAUGUUAGUUAUUGGGUUUGCUGAUCAUCUUUUUGACACCAUCAAUUUUUACUUCUCACAUGUUUAUAUUUUUUUAUAAAAUAUGUCUGAUUUCUUUUUCUUUUUAUUGCUCGUGUUUUCUGGAGGAAAGGAAAGUUAUAUAGUGUAGUAGGGCUAUUGGAUAAUCUUCUCUUUUGGUGAAAAAUAAUUUAGUGUAGUAUUGCUUAUUGAUAAUUUGGUGAAUAAAUAAUAAGUUGGAAGUCCCUGUGGUACCUCAUAGUUCUUUUUAACAGAACUAAAACCAUAGGAAGUUUGUAUAUUAAAGGAAUUAUCUGAUUUUAACUGAGAUUUAUGUUUCUUUUUCUGAAUACUUAAAUUGCCCGUCUUUUACUCAUUGGUGCAUCUGACAUCUUUGACCCAUGUUUUAUUUGAGAUAUUGGUGGUGCAACAUAGAAAGGUCAUACUGUUUAUCAUCUAGCUUUCAGUUCAAAUGAGAACGUACAGUGUGUAACAUGCAUCUCUUGUUAUAACAUUGUUGAAGUGACUGCAUGCACCGAAAUAGAGGCUAUCAAGCAUCUUUAUGUUCAAUAGUAGGGUAUAUCUCAAACAUUAAAAUGUCAUUGUGUCAUUCACUCCUCUAGAAAAGGUACGGAUGAUGAUCUCAAUUUUAAAGCCUUUGGCUCUCAUCAGUGAAUGCUAAAGGCUUGUGAAGAUUGCCCUUGUAUUGAGGGCAAUCUUCACCUUGUAUUAAGAUUAAUCUCAAUUUUAUAGUCAUUUGUAUUAAGGGAUUGCCCAUUUAUGAUUUUUUUACCAUACAAGUCCUUGGUUAGGUUAGUACAUACUAGUUGCAUGAAAUGGCAUGAGCUGCAUGUUGCCUUGUGCAAUGUAGACUGAUUGGUAAGGAUGCACAAGCGGACCUUCAAUGACUUAUACAUCCCAGGUAUAAGGCGAGGAUCAUUGAAUUUUUCUCAAAGGUUAAUUUGUUUUAUGAAACCAGUACGACAUUCUUUUACUUUUGUUGAAGUUGGCAUUUCUUUAUUUCUUCAUUAGUUUAAAUAUUUGGUAAUUUUUUUAUGUUUGUUAU